AGGGCCACAGGAAGGAACAGGAGGCAAG
Molecule: non-coding RNA, 28 nt
Filed under: Cricetulus griseus (Chinese hamster)
Lineage: Eukaryota; Metazoa; Chordata; Mammalia; Rodentia; Cricetidae
Source: RNAcentral